GAUGAACGCUGGCGGCGUGCCUAAUACAUGCAAGUCGAGCGAACAGACGAGGAGCUUGCUCCUCUGACGUUAGCGGCGGACGGGUGAGUAACACGUGGAUAACCUACCUAUAAUACUGGGAUAACUUCGGGAAACCGGAGCUAAUACCGGAUAAUAUAUUGAACCGCAUGGUUCAAUAGUGAAAGACGGUUUUGCUGUCACUUAUAGAUGGAUCCGCGCCGCAUUAGCUAGUUGGUAAGGUAACGGCUUACCAAGGCAACGAUGCGUAGCCGACCUGAGAGGGUGAUCGGCCACACUGGAACUGAGACACGGUCCAGACUCCUACGGGAGGCAGCAGUAGGGAAUCUUCCGCAAUGGGCGAAAGCUUGACGGAGCAACGCCGCGUGAGUGAUGAAGGUCUUCGGAUCGUAAAACUCUGUUAUUAGGGAAGAACAAAUGUGUAAGUAACUAUGCACGUCUUGACGGUACCUAAUCAGAAAGCCACGGCUAACUACGUG
Molecule: ribosomal RNA, 497 nt
Filed under: uncultured bacterium
Lineage: Bacteria
Description: partial 16S ribosomal RNA
Rfam family: Bacterial small subunit ribosomal RNA
Source: RNAcentral